Unclassified non-coding RNA from Aotus nancymaae (Ma's night monkey), 102 nucleotides. It matches the Rfam family "Y RNA". From Rfam's summary of the family: Y RNAs are components of the Ro ribonucleoprotein particle (Ro RNP), in association with Ro60 and La proteins. The Y RNAs and Ro60 and La proteins are well conserved, but the function of the Ro RNP is not known. In humans the RNA component can be one of four small RNAs -- hY1, hY3, hY4 and hY5. NCBI's taxonomy places the organism in Eukaryota, Metazoa, Chordata, Mammalia, Primates, Aotidae. The record is from Ensembl.
AGCUGGUCCGAGUGCAGUGGUGUUUACAACUGAUUCAUCACAACCACUUACAGAUGUCUUUGUUCCUUCUCCACUCCCACUGCUUCACUUGACUAGCCUUAA